Molecule: ribosomal RNA, 465 nt
Filed under: Vreelandella stevensii
Lineage: Bacteria; Pseudomonadati; Pseudomonadota; Gammaproteobacteria; Oceanospirillales; Halomonadaceae
Description: partial 16S ribosomal RNA
Rfam family: Bacterial small subunit ribosomal RNA
Source: RNAcentral
CCUACGGGGGCUGCAGUGGGGAAUAUUGGACAAUGGGCGAAAGCCUGAUCCAGCCAUGCCGCGUGUGUGAAGAAGGCCUUCGGGUUGUAAAGCACUUUCAGUGGGGAAGAAAGCCUUGGGGCUAAUACCCUCGAGGAAGGACAUCACCCACAGAAGAAGCACCGGCUAACUCCGUGCCAGCAGCCGCAGGUAAUACGGAGGGUGCGAGCGUUAAUCGGAAUUACUGGGCGUAAAGCGCGCGUAGGCGGUCUGAUAAGCCGGUUGUGAAAGCCCCGGGCUCAACCUGGGAACGGCAUCCGGAACUGUCAGGCUAGAGUGCAGGAGAGGAAGGUAGAAUUCCCGGUGUAGCGGUGAAAUGCGUAGAGAUCGGGAGGAAUACCAGUGGCGAAGGCGGCCUUCUGGACUGACACUGACGCUGAGGUGCGAAAGCGUGGGUAGCAAACAGGAUUAGAUACCCCGGUAGUC